Molecule: unclassified non-coding RNA, 337 nt
Filed under: soil metagenome
Description: partial contains small subunit ribosomal RNA, internal transcribed spacer 1, and 5.8S ribosomal RNA
Source: RNAcentral
UUUCCGUAGGUGAACCUGCGGAAGGAUCAUUAACUAAAUGUAUCGGCACUUUACUGGGAGAGGGGGGGAUUCAUCCUCUCCUCCUGGUAUUGUUUGCUCCUAUACUGUGAAUCUCUGGCGAUGAAGGUUUCGGUUGUUGUUAUGAAUGAUGACUGAACCUUUGGGAGAGACUCAGGACAUAUAGGCUAUAAUGGGUAGGCCUGUUCUGGGGUUUGAUCGAUGCCAAUCAGGUGUGCCUUGUGUACACCUGGUACCCUUUGCCAUAUACUAUGAAUUCAGGAAUUUAAAAAGUUUAAAAAAAAAAAAACAACUUUUAACAAUGGAUCUCUUGGUUCUC